Molecule: non-coding RNA, 29 nt
Filed under: Homo sapiens (human)
Lineage: Eukaryota; Metazoa; Chordata; Mammalia; Primates; Hominidae
Source: RNAcentral
UGGUAAGACUGGUAACUGUUUGGAAUAGC